UAAGGAAUAUUGGUCAAUGGACGCAAGUCUGAACCAGCCAUGCCGCGUGGAGGAUUAAGGCCCUCUGGGUUGUAAACUCCUUUUAUCUGGGAAGAAAUGUACUUUUUCUUGAGUACUUGACGGUACCAGAGGAAUAAGCACCGGCUAACUCCGUGCCAGCAGCCGCGGUAAUACGAAGGGUGCAAGCGUUAUCCGGAUUCACUGGGUUUAAAGGGUGCGUAGGUGGGCAGGUAAGUCAGUGGUGAAAUCUCCGGGCUUAACCCGGAAACUGCCGUUGAUACUAUGUGUCUUGAAUAUUGUGGAGGUAAGCGGAAUAUGUCAUGUAGCGGUGAAAUGCUUAGAUAUGACAUAGAACACCAAUUGCGAAGGCAGCUUACUACACAAUCAUUGACGCUGAGGCACGAAAGCGUGGGGAUCAAACA
Molecule: ribosomal RNA, 422 nt
Filed under: uncultured bacterium
Lineage: Bacteria
Description: bacterial SSU rRNA
Rfam family: Bacterial small subunit ribosomal RNA
Source: RNAcentral